Molecule: long non-coding RNA, 4469 nt
Organism: Mus musculus (house mouse)
Lineage: Eukaryota; Metazoa; Chordata; Mammalia; Rodentia; Muridae
Product: predicted gene, 32249
Exons: 3
Source: RefSeq, marked validated
AGGUAGGAGAAUGUCACCCUGUCACUGAUGUCAUAGGGCAGAACUGGGGAUCGAGAGAACAGAAGUCAAGGCAUGGAAAGGGUCAGGUGACUGUCUUGCCCUUCUCACCUCCUUCUCGGGGGACACAGACGGCCCCAUCUAGCUACCAGGAGAGCUGUUUACAUGGAAUCCAAGUUGCCUGCCAGGGGCAGAGCACGUUUUUCCACAGCUGCUGAGAAAGACGAGUGAGUCAAGACAGAAUAACAAAAAGCCACUUCAAAAACACACCAGAAGAAGUACGAAGCUGAGACAAUCACAGGACAAUAGAGCCCAUUGAAGAGGAGCCUGGAGUUGGAGGUAUUGGCUCAAGUCCCUCCGACUGUCAUUCAGUUGCCAUGAGACUUUAGGUAAGUUACUAUCAAAUGAACCACAUCCCUUGCCAAAGUAGGGGCUAAGAUUUUUUUUGUUUUGGUUUGGUUUUUCGAGACAAGAGUAUCUCUGUGUAGCCUUAGCUGUGUUGGAACUCACUCUGUAAACCAGGCUGGCCUUGAACUUAGAACCCAGAGAUCUGCCUGCCCCUGCUUCCCAAGUGCUGGGAUUAAAGGCGUGUGUGAGACAGGGUCUUACAUGGCUCAGGCUGACCGAUAGCUGCCUGUAUAUUUGAGGAUGGCCUGGAGUUCCUGCCUUCACCUCCCAGAUGUUGGGGUCACAGGCAUGCUCAGUUACUUUGGGUUUCGAUUUUCAGUUUUCUUUUUUCCUCUUUUGGAAAGAGGAUCUCAAAGAUGUAGCCCAGACUACAGGUACCCAUGGUGCUGCAUUAGUUUAAAAGGUGAGAUCUCAACCCUUGGGAGGUACAACAGUCAAUCAGUCAAUCAAUUAUCAAUAAAUCAGUGUGAUCCUCAGUGUACCCCGGACAUUUUAAAUUUAACUAAUUGAAUGUGUGGGUGUUCUGCUGCAUAUAUGCAACAGGCCAGAAGAGGGCAUCAGAUCCCCUUAUAGAUGGUUGUGAGUCACCAUGUGAUUGAAGGGCUGGGAAUUGAACUCAGGACCUCUGGAAGAGCAGUCAGUGCUCUUAACCGCUGGACCACCUCGCCAGCCCUAGCAACACUAGCUUUUAAUACUCUUCAAAUGAUUCCAACGUCCAGGCAAGAACCCUGAUCCUCCCAGAACUUCUCGAAGUUUAGCGUGUGCAGGAAAUCAGCUGGUCUGGUACAGCUGUUUGACAUCUGCAGUUCUACUGAAUCCACAGGUGAUGCCCACGACCACACCUGGGAUGAUAUUGUCCCUGUUUAUGUUCCUGUCCUUGUUCCCUCCAAUGACACCGUGGGCAAGCGUUGUCCUCCCGCUCUGUUUUCAUGGGCAUAUCACCUGCCACUUGAAUUCUCAUUGGAUGCUGUGGGUCUGAAUCAGAUAGACAAUCCAAGAGGCUAUCCUGCUCCCGCGGGUAGCCAAGAGGCUUUGUAGCCCAGACUACAUGUACCCAUUGGGGUUGUUUUUUUUGGUUUCUUGGUUUUUUUGGUUUCUUGGUUUUUUUUUUAGUUUCAUAUUUUUAUUUUCUUCUAUAUAACAGAGUUGAAUAUGCUUUUUUUCUUACUUAUUCACUUUACAUCCCACUCAUUGAUCCUCUCCCAGUCACCCCUUCCUGCAAUCCUUCCCUCCAUCCCUGCUCCCCUUCCCCUCUGAGCGGGUGGGGGUCCCCCUGAUAAUUCCCCUACUAGCACAUCGAAUCUCUGUGGGGCUAGGUGAAUCUUCUUCCACUGAGGCCAUACAAGGUAGCCCAGCUAAAAGACUAUGUCUCAUGGACAGGCAACAGCUUUUGGGAUAGCCUCUGCUCCAGUUGUUGGGGACUUACAUGAAGACCAAGCUGCCAAUCCAGCCUGUGUAUACUCUACGGUUGGUGGUUCAGUCUCUGAAACCCCCCAAGGGUCCAGGCUAGUUGACUCUGUUGGUCUUCCUGUGGAGUUCCUAUCCCCUUUGGAGACCAAAAUCCUAUUCUUUCAUAAGAGUCCCCAGGCUCUGUCCACUGUUUGGUUGUGGAUGUCUGCCUCUGUCUGAAUUAGCUGCUGGGUAGAGCCUUUCAGGACAGCCAUGCUAGAUUCCUGUCUGCAAGUAUAACAGAGUAUCAUUAAUAGUGUCAAGGAUUGGUGCUUGGCCAUGGGAUAGGUCUCAAGUUGGGCCGGUUAUUGCUUGGCCAUUCCCUUAGUCUCUGCUCCAUCUGCUGUCCCUGCAUUUCUUGUAGACGGGAUACAUUUUGGGUUGAAUGUUUUGUGGAUGGGUUGGUGUCACUAUUGGAAGAGGCCUUUUUUUUUUUUUUUUUUUUUUUUUGGUUUUUCCGAGACAGGGUUUCUCUGUAGCCCUGGCUGUCCUGGAACUCACUUUGUAGACCGGGCUGGCCUCGAACUUAGAAAUCCGCCUGCCUCUGCCUCCCGAGUGCUGGGAUUAAAGGCAUGUGCCACCAUACCCGGCUGGAAGAGGCCAUUUUUAACUGAGAGAGCUGGAAGGGUCCACAGAGCACAACAGAGUGGCUUUCAAAGCUGUUCCUGCACCCACUUUCUUAUCUCAGUUCUCUCUGUCCCUUGGCAAGUGUGGAUCGUGUCCCCAGGCCUGCGUGUGAGAAAGAUCAGAGUUUAGAAUUAGAGGCUUUUCCAAUGAUGACGUGUACUGUGGGGCCUUAGACUCUGGUCUCACUUGGGCAUGAAGGUGCUCACUUGUGAUCCCAGCACUUGAGACGAAGAGGCAGGAGAAUCCGGAGUUCAAGGUUAUCCCGCAUAGUAAGUUCAAGGCUAAUGGGCUUGUCUUAGUCAGGGUCUCUAUUCCUGCACAAACAUCAUGACCAAGACAAAUUGGUACCAGGAGUGGGGUAUUCCUGUGACAACCUGACCAUGUUUUGGGGAGGACUGUGGAAGGACUUUGGAACUUUGGGCUUGAAGAUCCAUCCGUUGUUAAGAGCUCUGUCGGAUGUUGUGUAGGAGCUUGGAAGAUAAUAUUGAGAACACUGCAGAAGAUGGAGGUCUGGUUUGUGAAAUUUCAGAGGGAAAAUUAAAGACUCUUUUCAGGGCCAUUGCUGUUUUGAUUGUGAAGAUUCUGUAGUUCUGGUUAGCUGGGGCUGAAGAAUCAGCUGUGAUUAACAAGAUACCAGAACUACCAAAGCAAAAACUUUGCAUUACUGGGACUAUUGAUGCUGGUUAGCUGGAGCUAAGAAAUUAGCGGUGAUUAAGAAGAGACCAGCAUCAUUGAGGUGACAUCUUCUGGGAAGUGUUUUCUGAAAGCACAAAGAGGCUGUGUUCCAGAGAUAGCCAAGGUUGUACUCCUGCUGCAGUGGGACUUGGUAAUGUGUAAGGGUCACCCAGGUGGUACUGGUUUUGAAGGCAUGAAGGGGUCACGCAGAGCAGCUGAGGCUUGGCACUGUGAGAGGCCAUGGAAGGCCAUUGGUGAAGGUGCAGCCACAGUUGCAAUUGACGGCCCAGGACUGAAGGGGUCAUGCAGUGUUUUGGAGAUGCCAGUAUCAUGAGAUGACCACCAAGAGUAGCAGCAGCAGUGGAGUCCAGGCAUCUGGAGCCUAGAGGACAACGUGUGUGCUACAAAGGGCAUGGCUGGAGAAGUGACCCAAGCCCUUGGAGGAGCCCAGAAGAUUGUGAGUUGGAUCCCAGACAUUGAAUGGUUAGAGAUUGACUUUUGCUUUUGAUUGUGACUGUGCUCUGAUAUUUUCCCGCUUGAAGGAAGAAACUAUUUUAGUGUAGCCCACAGUUAAGAGAUUUUUAAUUGUAAAAAGACUUAGGAUUUUAGAAGAUAUUGGACAUUUUAAAGGGAUUGACUCUUAAUAUGUAAAGACUGUGGGACUUUUAAAGUUGUUUAGAUCUUGGGGAUGAAUAAGAAAUUAAGGGUUGGGGGCUGGUGAGAUGGCUCAGUGUGUAAGAGCACCCGACUGCUCUUCCGAAGGUCCUGAGUUCAAAUCCCAGCAACCACAUGGCGGCUUACAACCAUCUGUAACAAGAUCUGAUGCCCUCUUCUGGAGUGUCUGAAGACAGCUACAGUGUACUUACAUAUAAUAAAUAAAUAAAUCUUUAAAAACAAAUUUAAAAAAAAGAAAUUAAGGGUUGAGGCUUACUAGUGAUGUGUUUGUGUGUCAGGUUGACGAGGGGUCAAUUGUACUGGCUAGUUUUGUGUCAACUUGACACAGCUGGAGUUACCACAGAGAAAGGAGCUUCAGUUGAGGAAAUGCCUCUAUGAGUUCCAACUGUAAGGCAUUUUCUCAAUUAGUGAUCAAGGGGGAAAGGCCCCUUGUGGGUGGGACCAUCUCUGGGCUGGUAGUCUUGGUUUUAUAAGAGAGCAGGCUGAGCAAGCCAGGGGAGGCAAGCCAGUAAAGAACAUCCCUCCAUGGCCUCUGCAUCAGCUCCUGCUCCCUGACCUGUUUGAGUUCCAGUCCUGACUUCCUUUGGUGAUGAACAGCAGCAUGGAAGUGUAAGCCGAAUAAACCCUUUCCUCCCCAA